Molecule: ribosomal RNA, 253 nt
Filed under: uncultured bacterium
Lineage: Bacteria
Description: partial 16S ribosomal RNA
Rfam family: Bacterial small subunit ribosomal RNA
Source: RNAcentral
UACGAAGGGGACUAGCGUUGUUCGGAAUUACUGGGCGUAAAGCGCACGUAGGCGGAUUUGUAAGUCAGGGGUGAAAUCCCGGGGCUCAACCUCGGAACUGCCUUUGAUACUGCAAAUCUCGAGUCCGAUAGAGGUGGGUGGAAUUCCUAGUGUAGAGGUGAAAUUCGUAGAUAUUAGGAAGAACACCAGUGGCGAAGGCGGCUCACUGGACCGGUAUUGACGCUGAGGUGCGAAAGCGUGGGGAGCAAACAGG